RNA transcript from Homarus americanus (American lobster), 3553 nucleotides. It is a transcript of the gene named nephrin-like, with no coding region annotated. The record is from RefSeq and is a predicted model, not a curated record. The transcript has 17 exons. Lineage: Eukaryota; Metazoa; Arthropoda; Malacostraca; Decapoda; Nephropidae.
ACACCACCUCUCUUUCUCGAGCGAUUUUAGUGACGAUUUGUGAGCGGAAACAUCGAGUAAGCUGGUAACAGUUAACCUCGGUGUUUACAGCUAUAAUAUAAAUGUACAUAUAAAUAUAUACAUAUAUGAAUGUUUCUUUUUGUUAUUCUUCAAAGUGUUAAAUAGCAGUGUGACGGAUAUGAAGCUAUUAGUAUAUUUUCAGAAGGUAUUGCUUAUCAUUUCCUGACACGAGUGUUCAUGAUCAACCAAAAUAUUUAUUUUUGAAAAUUAUUAAUUUAUAAAGUGUAAGAAAGCCGACUAUUUACAGAGAGUGUUGUUCUCGCUCCUGAGUGGAGGAGGAUCAGGCGGUGCAGACACACGGGAUUAUUUAGCGAUCAAUGGUGUUGAUGCAGUGAUCAAAUCCUUUGUAAGUACACAGACACGCAGUAAAGAGCUCUUAAGCACGGCCUCAUCUAACUCAACCUAGGUCUAUAUUCAGAAAGGUUUAUAUUCAGAAAGAGUGUGAAAAGGUGCGUUAAGUGCUAUAUACAAUCUUCCAAGCUCGUGUCAAUACAAAUAAAUAAAUAAACACGAACAAAAAAGUUGCAGGGAAGAUAACAAAGUUUAUUUCCAUGAUGAAAUUAACACAACUGUACGAUAAGACUGUGCGGCUGAUGCUGCUGCUGUUGCUGCUGCUGGUCUGCUGUCUGCUGAGCCCAGUCUCAUCUCAGCAGGACUCAACUAACGAGACUCAGGAGGAGGACGUGGAGGAGGUCCGUGUAGUGGUGGGGUUCAAUGCGUCUCUGCCUUGCAACGUGCGUGCCCCUGACCACGACGCUCCUAUCCUCACCCUCUGGUAUAUCGCCGACGUGGAGGCGCCAGUCUACAGUUACGACGAGAGACCCAUACAGCGCGGGUCCAGGUGGGCGGACCCGAAGGUGUUCGGGUCUCGGGCGUUCUUCCACGCCCAUAGUACGCCGCCCGCGCUUCUCCUUGCCCACGCCACUGUCGAAGACGGGCGACUCUACCGUUGCAGGGUCGACUUCCAGAACACCAGGUCGAGGAUGGCCUGGGUCAACCUCACAGUGGUCGUGCCACCCACCAAGACUGAAGUCAUCACGCGUGUAUCUCCGGUGAACUUGGGAGACAGAAACGACGUCAUUUGUAAGGCGUAUGGAGGUUCGCCCUCCCCCCAGGUGUUGUGGCUGCAGGAGGGGAAGCUGGUGGACAGUACCUACACCAUCGCGGGCAACGAGACCUACAACGUGCUGGAGGUAGAGGCCAGUCGAGGCGACCUGACCUCCCCCUUCUUGUGUAGGGCGACUAACAACGAUCGUACCGGGCCAGACGAAGUCGAAUAUCUCAGGAACGUGACCUGCGGCCCCCUCACUGUGACCAUCACAGGGGAGGAGGAACCCAUAGCUGAGGGCCGCACCGCCACCAUCACCUGCACCGUGUUAGGCAGUAACCCACCUGCCCUCGUCACCUGGUACCAGCAGGGACAGAUGAUCAAGCCCUUACAUACUAUGGUAAGUCAUCGGGACAACGUUACGAGGAGUGUGUUGACGCUGAACGCUUCUCGCAGUGACCACGGCCGACAGAUGGUGUGUCGCGCCGAGAACAAACUCAUCCAAAACAACGCCCUUGAGGACAUCUUCACUCUAGACGUCCAGUAUAAACCAAUCUUGAGGAUGACCCUGGGGCGCAACCUUGACCAUGAUGACCUUCGGGAGGGCAAUGACCUUUUUUUCGACUGUAACAUCGACGCCAAUCCUGCCCCUUACAAGGUCGAGUGGUGGCAUGACGGAGAGUUGGUGAGCCACAACGUGAGCGGAGGGGUGCUGGUGAGCGAGUCCACCUUGGCCCUACAGAAAGUGCGGAGGGAGAAAUCCGGCCAGUACCAGUGUAGCGCCUCCAACGUGGAGGGUGACACCACCAGCGACCCCGUCAACAUCACCAUCAAAUACGCCCCCAGGUGCUCGGUGAGUCCUUCCCUGCGGGGUGUGGGCCUCCUGGAGCCCCUCAACGUCACCUGCUUGGUAGAUGCUGACCCUCCUGACGUCACCUUCUCGUGGACCUUCAACAACUCCGUCAGAAGGGAACAGAGUGAGGUGGUCAGCAACCAGAGGUACACGACAGAGAGGCUGAGGAGUGUACUGUUCUACACGCCAAUGACAGAGAGGGACUACGGCACCCUUCUCUGCCACGCCUCCAACUCCAUCGGCACCCAGAAGACUCCCUGUUCCUUCACUGUUAUCUCUGCCGGUCCACCGGAGGAGGUGACGGGGUGCACUGUCGAUAACGUUACUUCACACUCCAGCAGCAUCGUUUGCUCUCCUGGCUUCAACGGAGGCCUCCCACAGAUGUUCCUUCUUCAGGUAUGGAAAGAGGAGCCGCCUAAAGUGGACGAGUUAGUGGUGAACAUAUCGCUGGCGCAGUCGGAGUUCCUGGUGAGGUCGCUGGUGCCAGGCCAUCACUACCGCUCUGAGGUUACCGCCCACAACGCCCGAGGUGCUGCCCCGCCCGUCACCCUCCACAUCCACACUCUCAAAGAGGCAGAGAUGCAUAAAAGUUUACCGUCACGCUCUGAACCCUCGCCGCUGAUGUUGGUGUUGGCGGUGAUCGGUGGUGCCUUGCUGGUGGUGGUGAUGCUGCUGGUGGGCGUGUGGGCAGUGCGAGGCCGGAGAAGACACUCUCACGCCCACAGAGAAAAUGUCCACAUACCCAUGAAGGAAUCUAACCCAGAUAUCCUAGAGGCCGCCCCUCAACCACCAACAUCAGCCCACACCAUUACCAUCAGCGUAAUCAAACAGCCACACCAAACAUAUGACGGGGAACCUUCUCCUCCUCCUCCUGACGUAGGCGCAGAGGAGCUGGGGAUGGGCAUGGGUCUUCGGCCAGGUCUACCCUCCCAGAAAACGGUCUUUGGAGCCUCCGAACCUUUACACAGACCAAUUGAAAAGAGUUUACAGACCCCCGUCUGCCACCCGUACGAUGAUGACCCUCCGUCUUCUCCAGAGGUCACUGAGAGGACUCAGCUCACAACAUCUACUAUAGACACCAGCUUGGGCAUCACCCUUGGGGUAGAAGCAGCCGCCAGGUCCAGCAGAAGACUACCGUAUUCCAGAACGCCUUUGUACGAGGAGCUGGAUAUAGGAUCUUCAACUUGCGUCCUGCAGCCACUGAUGCUUGGGAGCUCAGAGAGUGUUAUGUAAUCCCAAGACAUCGUACCAAGGGAAGGGAGUGACAUGAACUUCGUAAAUUGGCAGCGCGUAUCAUCCUGGGAAUAUCUCAGAAAAGGAAUAUACUUUGUCCACAAGUCUUCAAGGAGACAUGAAAAAGAACCAUGGAUGAUGACUUAGUGAUAGAGAUUUACCCCUUGUAAAUACUCAGUUCAUUUUGAUAAUAUACAUAAUAAAUUUAGGUCAGAAGACAAUAGCAUUGCAUCACCAUAUUUUUGUACACGAAUUUUUGAAGAUUAAACCUGUUGCUAUAAUUAUAAUGAAGGAUUAACUAGACAUUAUUUUCAUUGUAAUAUAUGUUUGUAUUUAGGUGCAAAUGCAUCCCCCCCCCC